UUGUUUUAAAACGUAGACCGUAGACCGUAGACUUGUAAAAUAGGCAUAAAUAGGUCUAUAUUUUAAAAUGUACAAAAGAUUUCAAGAGAUCAGUAUUCAGUAUAUUAUUGUAAAACUAAUAUUGUAUAAGUUUUUGACUAUUGUUAACAAAACUUCCCAUAAAAAAUGUAAUAAAGAAAAAAAUCUACAACUGUAAUAAGCAUACAAUAUUGUGUACCUACUUUGAUGAAUGAUGAUAAUAUUUAAACAGGGCAUUAAACUAUUUUUUGGGUCAUUUUUGAUACCUACUUUAAGCUCUGAAGUUGUCUACAUCUCACUAUACUACUUGACUAUUCAUAACCAUUGUAUGGUAUAAGUUGUUGGGCCAACUACACAUUAGAGCUUGACUAUGUAUAUAAUAAUCUAAUAUGUAUAUUAAAAGUUUAAAUAAUAUUUAA
Molecule: long non-coding RNA, 437 nt
Organism: Aphis gossypii (cotton aphid)
Lineage: Eukaryota; Metazoa; Arthropoda; Insecta; Hemiptera; Aphididae
Exons: 2
Source: RefSeq, a predicted model, not a curated record